This 430-nucleotide ribosomal RNA is filed under the name uncultured bacterium. Its description in RNAcentral is "bacterial SSU rRNA". It matches the Rfam family "Bacterial small subunit ribosomal RNA", at positions 352 to 774 of the family's 1533-position model. The record is from RNAcentral.
CAGUGGGGAAUUUUGGACAAUGGGGGCAACCCUGAUCCAGCCAUUCCGCGUGAGUGAAGAAGGCCUUCGGGUUGUAAAGCUCUUUCAGCUGGAACGAAACGGUACGCGCUAACAUCGUGUGCUAAUGACGGUACCAGCAGAAGAAGCACCGGCUAACUACGUGCCAGCAGCCGCGGUAAUACGUAGGGUGCGAGCGUUAAUCGGAAUUACUGGGCGUAAAGCGUGCGCAGGCGGAUUGUUAAGCAAGAUGUGAAAUCCCCGGGCUUAACCUGGGAAUGGCAUUUUGAACUGGCAGUCUAGAGUGCGUCAGAGGGGGGUGGAAUUCCACGUGUAGCAGUGAAAUGCGUAGAGAUGUGGAGGAACACCGAUGGCGAAGGCAGCCCCCUGGGAUGACACUGACGCUCAUGUACGAAAGCGUGGGUAGCAAACA